AUUGAACGCUGGCGGCAUGCCUUACACAUGCAAGUCGAACGGCAGCACGGGAGCAAUCCUGGUGGCGAGUGGCGAACGGGUGAAUAAAGCAUCGGAACGUGCCCAGCCGUGGGGGAUAACGUAGCGAAAGCUACGCUAAUACCGCAUACGAUCUGUGGAUGAAAGCGGGGACCGUAAGGCCUCGCGCGAUUGGAGCGGCCGAUGUCAGAUUAGGUAGUUGGUGAGGUAAAGGCUCACCAAGCCGACGAUCUGUAGCUGGUCUGAGAGGACGACCAGCCACACUGGGACUUAGACACGGCCCAGACUCCUACGGGAGGCAGCAGUGGGGAAUUUUGGACAAUGGGCGCAAGCCUGAUCCAGCAAUGCCGCGUGCAGGAUGAAGGCCUUCGGGUUGUAAACUGCUUUUGUACGGAGCGAAACGGCUUCCACUAAUACUGGGGGCUAAUGACGGUACCGUAAGAAUAAGCACCGGCUAACUACGUGCCAGCCGCCGCCGUAA
This 499-nucleotide ribosomal RNA is filed under the name uncultured bacterium. RNAcentral describes it as "partial 16S ribosomal RNA". It matches the Rfam family "Bacterial small subunit ribosomal RNA", at positions 30 to 523 of the family's 1533-position model. The record is from RNAcentral.